AGUGAACGCUGGCGGUAGGCCUAACACAUGCAAGUCGGACGGCAGCACAGGAGAGCUUGCUCUCUGGGUGGCGAGUGGCGGACGGGUGAGGAAUACAUCGGAAUCUACUCUGUCGUGGGGGAUAACGUAGGGAAACUUACGCUAAUACCGCAUACGACCUACGGGUGAAAGCAGGGGACCUUCGGGCCUUGCGCGAUUGAAUGAGCCGAUGUCGGAUUAGCUAGUUGGCGGGGUAAAGGCCCACCAAGGCGACGAUCCGUAGCUGGUCUGAGAGGAUGAGCAGCCACACUGGAACUGAGACACGGUCCAGACUCCUACGGGAGGCAGCAGUGGGGAAUCUUGGACAAUGGGCGCAAGCCUGAUCCAGCCAUACCGCGUGGGUGAAGAAGGCCUUCGGGUUGUAAAGCCCUUUUGUUGGGAAAGAAAUCCAGCUGGCUAAUACCCGGUUGGGAUGACGGUACCCAAAGAAUAAGCACCGGCUAACUUCGUGCCAGCAGCCGCGGUAA
This 506-nucleotide ribosomal RNA is filed under the name uncultured bacterium. RNAcentral describes it as "partial 16S ribosomal RNA". It matches the Rfam family "Bacterial small subunit ribosomal RNA", at positions 29 to 523 of the family's 1533-position model. The record is from RNAcentral.